CGUAAAGAGCUCGUAGGUGGUUUGUCGCGUUGUUCGUGAAAUCUCACGGCUUAACUGUGAGCGUGCGGGCGAUACGGGCAGACUAGAGUACUGCAGGGGAGACUGGAAUUCCUGGUGUAGCGGUGGAAUGCGCAGAUAUCAGGAGGAACACCGGUGGCGAAGGCGGGUCUCUGGGCAGUAACUGACGCUGAGGAGCGAAAGCGUGGGGAGCGAACAGGAUUAGAUACCCUGGUAGUCCACGCCGUAAACGGUGGGUACUAGGUGUGGGUUUCCUUCCCUUGGGAUCCGUGCCGUAGCUAACGCAUUAAGUACCCCGCCUGGGGAGUACGGCCGCAAGGCUAAAACUCGAAGGAAUUGACGGGGGCCCGCACAAGCGGCGGAGCAUGUGGAUUAAUUCGAUGCAACGCGAAGAACCUUACCUGGGUUUGACAUGCACAGGACGCGUCUAGAGAUAGGCGUUCCCUUGUGGCCUGUGUGCAGGUGGUGCAUGGCUGUCGUCAGCUCGUGUCGUGAGAUGUUGGGUUAAGUCCCGCAACGAGCGCAACCCUUGUCUCAUGUUGCCAGCGGGUAAUGCCGGGGACUCAUGAGAGACUGCCGGGGUCAACUCGGAGGAAGGUGGGGAUGACGUCAAGUCAUCAUGCCCCUUAUGUCCAGGGCUUCACACAUGCUACAAUGGCCGGUACAAAGGGCUGCGAUGCCGUAAGGUUAAGCGAAUCCUUUUAAAGCCGGUCUCAGUUCGGAUUGGGGUCUGCAACUCGACCCCAUGAAGUCGGAGUC
Molecule: ribosomal RNA, 777 nt
Filed under: uncultured Mycobacterium sp.
Lineage: Bacteria; Bacillati; Actinomycetota; Actinomycetes; Mycobacteriales; Mycobacteriaceae
Description: bacterial SSU rRNA
Rfam family: Bacterial small subunit ribosomal RNA
Source: RNAcentral